UGAAGGGAGCUUGCUCCUGGAUUCAGCGGCGGACGGGUGAGUAAUGCCUAGGAAUCUGCCUGGUAGUGGGGGAUAACGUCCGGAAACGGGCGCUAAUACCGCAUACGUCCUGAGGGAGAAAGUGGGGGAUCUUCGGACCUCACGCUAUCAGAUGAGCCUAGGUCGGAUUAGCUAGUUGGUGGGGUAAAGGCCUACCAAGGCGACGAUCCGUAACUGGUCUGAGAGGAUGAUCAGUCACACUGGAACUGAGACACGGUCCAGACUCCUACGGGAGGCAGCAGUGGGGAAUAUUGGACAAUGGGCGAAAGCCUGAUCCAGCCAUGCCGCGUGUGUGAAGAAGGUCUUCGGAUUGUAAAGCACUUUAAGUUGGGAGGAAGGGCAGUAAGUUAAUACCUUGCUGUUUUGACGUUACCAACAGAAUAAGCACCGGCUAACUUCGUGCCAGCAGCCGCGGUAAUACGAAGGGUGCAAGCGUUAAUCGGAAUUACUGGGCGUAAAGCGCGCGUAGGUGGUUCAGCAAGUUGGAUGUGAAAUCCCCGGGCUCAACCUGGGAACUGCAUCCAAAACUACUGAGCUAGAGUACGGUAGAGGGUGGUGGAAUUUCCUGUGUAGCGGUGAAAUGCGUAGAUAUAGGAAGGAACACCAGUGGCGAAGGCGACCACCUGGACUGAUACUGACACUGAGGUGCGAAAGCGUGGGGAG
Molecule: ribosomal RNA, 702 nt
Filed under: Pseudomonas aeruginosa
Lineage: Bacteria; Pseudomonadati; Pseudomonadota; Gammaproteobacteria; Pseudomonadales; Pseudomonadaceae
Description: bacterial SSU rRNA
Rfam family: Bacterial small subunit ribosomal RNA
Source: RNAcentral